This is a long non-coding RNA of Venturia canescens, 894 nucleotides long. RefSeq lists it as uncharacterized. NCBI's taxonomy places the organism in Eukaryota, Metazoa, Arthropoda, Insecta, Hymenoptera, Ichneumonidae. The record is from RefSeq and is a predicted model, not a curated record. The transcript is spliced from 2 exons.
CAUCGUAUUCGGCAUCAUUUGACUGGGUACUUCAGUAAGCACAGGCCCGUACUGCGAAGUGGAACCCACCAGCAAGUCAGUCGAUGGAUUCAAACCGCCCAACAUCUUUCCUCAUAGUAACGUGUACAUACAAGAUAAUUUACAUUCUGGGAAUAUAAAAAUAGACACUGUGGUUGACUCGUAAUAGAUUGAAGGUGAUAUAUUUUCUUUCUGCAACAAAUUCUAUUGCUGUGCUGGAAAUUGUGGAUCUCUAAAAUACCCAUCUUUCUCACAUUUAUAUGGGUCAAUACACAACACCUUGUACUUUGGCAAACAUCUUGAUGGUUAUUUACAUAAUUGCUUCAAUUUUCAUAAAACUGUAAAAAAAAUGCAUUAGUAGCAAAAGCUAUAGAGCAAUAGAUUGUAGUUGGAAUUCAAAUGUAAUUUAAUCGUUUGAAAAUACACUGAAAAAUGAGGGAUGGAAGAAAAAAAGGAUCAAACUGUAUUUUUAAUUGGAGCAACAAAAUUCCGAGAUGCGGCAGAAUCUUAGCACCGAGUAUUAGAAAAAAUAAUUUCGCCCGGAUGAAGUGACACGCGAAAUAAUUUAUACUCGAGAUAAAUCGAUUUUCAUAAUAUACAGCGAAUCAGAAUUAACUGGAUAAAGAUUUUAUUAUGUCCAUAUAAAAAAUGUCAACAGAAUAAUAAAUCUGAUUAUUUUCUAUUUACUACAGGAUGAAAUACUAUUUCCAGUAUUCAUGUAUACAACCCUGAGGUGUUUCACAGGCCUAUCUAGUACUUCAAUCCCACCCCACCAACUGUGAAUUCUUAUUCUUUUAAGCAUUGAUGUUUCACUGAAUUCCAUUGGCACGAGAAAUGUUGUGAAAUACCUAGCUAAUAAAGCUUUUUAUUUUUUUA